Molecule: ribosomal RNA, 488 nt
Filed under: uncultured bacterium
Lineage: Bacteria
Description: bacterial SSU rRNA
Rfam family: Bacterial small subunit ribosomal RNA
Source: RNAcentral
GAGUUUGAUCGUGGCUCAGGAUGAACGCUGGCGGAGUGCCUAAUACAUGCAAGUCGAGCGGCAGCACGAGUAGUUUACUACUUGGUGGCGAGCGGCGGACGGCUGAGUAACGCGUGGGAACGUGCCCCAAAGUGAGGAAUAACUGCCCGAAAGGGUAGCUAAUGCCGCAUAUGAUCUUCGGAUUAAAGUAUUUAUUACGCUUUGGGAGCGGCCCGCGUCUGAUUAGGUAGUUGGUGAGGUAAAGGCUCACCAAGCCGAUGAUCGGUAGCUGGUUUGAGAGGAUGACCAGCCAGACUGGAACUGAGACACGGUCCAGACUCCUACGGGAGGCAGCAGUAAGGAAUCUUCCACAAUGGACGAAAGUCUGAUGGAGCAACUCCGCGUGCAGGAUGAAGGCCUUAGGGUUGUAAACUGCUUUUAUGAGUGAAGAAUAUGACGGUAACUCAUGAAUAAGGGUCGGCUAACUACGUGCCAGCAGCCGCAGUAAU